CAUGAAUCGGAAUUGCUAGUAAUCGCGGAUCAGCAUGCCGCGGUGAAUACGUUCCCGGGCCUUGUACACACCGCCCGUCACACCAUGGGAGCCGGUAAUACCCGAAGUCAGUAGUCCAACCACGUGAGACGCUGCCGAAGGUAGGAUUGCGACUGGGUGAAGUCGUAACAAGGUAAC
This 177-nucleotide ribosomal RNA is filed under the name uncultured bacterium. RNAcentral describes it as "partial 16S ribosomal RNA". It matches the Rfam family "Bacterial small subunit ribosomal RNA", at positions 1319 to 1500 of the family's 1533-position model. The record is from RNAcentral.